Alexandromys fortis (reed vole) is the source of this 600-nucleotide long non-coding RNA. RefSeq lists it as uncharacterized. The transcript has 3 exons. The record is from RefSeq and is a predicted model, not a curated record. NCBI's taxonomy places the organism in Eukaryota, Metazoa, Chordata, Mammalia, Rodentia, Cricetidae.
CACCAUGUGGUUGCUGGGAAUUGAACUCAGGACCUUUGGUAGAGCAGGCAAUGCUCUUAACCUCUGAGCCAUCUCUCCAGCCCCACUGAUGGCACUUUUAUGUCAGUUUCUGUUACCAGCCUGAUCCAAAUUUAGAUUUCACUCAUUUAAAUUUUAUUUAUUAUGUGCUGAACCUUAAAUAGUAUGCUGGACUUAAGUUGAAUAUUUGUCUAGACACAGGAAUGCCUUCCAGAUUAGAUGUGUGAGAGCUGACUAGGCUACUCUAAGUAGUGUUUCAUCAUUGUAAGGCAAAAUAGCGAGAAUUGGGUUUCUAUUCUACCUGUCCUAUAGAGUUGAACUAUAAAUGAAUGGAUAUUCAAAAGUUGUUUUUUUUUUUUUCUCUCUCUCUCCUUAGUACUGGAUGAAUGAAUACACAUCAUCUAUUGGAAUUGGAGUUUUUCAUUCUGGAAUUGAAGUGUAUGGCAGAGAAUUUGCUUAUGGUGGCCAUCCUUACCCUUUUUCUGGAAUAUUUGAAAUUUCCCCAGGAAAUGCUUCUGAACUAGGAGAAACAUUUAAAUUUAAAGAAGCUGUUGUUUUAGGGAGUACGGACUUUCUAGAAGA